CCCUCCGGCUCAGGCCCCGCGGUACCCGCCGAGCGGCGAGGAGCGCAGGGAUGCACGGGGCGGCCUCGACCCCUCGCCGCAGGGCGAGGCCCGGGGGGCGCGCGGUGGACGCCGAACCCGCCCCGGGGAACGGCACAGGCACGUGCACACGGGUGCAGCCACCCCCGCGGGGCACCCUUCAAGUCCUUCGUGGCGACGGCACUUCUGUGGGGACUGUCCUCGUGUUCCACUGCCCCUCAGGCCACCAGAUGGUUGGGUCCGGCCUCCUCACCUGUGCUUGGAAGGGGAGCAUCGCCGAGUGGUCUUCAGUGAGCCCCGUGUGCAAGUCCGUGCCGCCGUAUGAGACCUUCGGCUUCAAGGUGGCCGUGAUCGCCUCCAUCGUCAGCUGCGCUAUCAUCCUACUCAUGUCCAUGGCCUUCCUCACCUCCUGCCUCAUGAGGUGCAUGAAGAGGAGUGAGCAGCCAUCCGACAGGGCAACCCAGCUGUGGCUCCAGCUGAGAGCCGGGGACUUGGAUACGGUGCAGGCCUCCUACCUCGGCCUCAAGGGCCCGAACAAUGGCGGCGGUGGUGGCAGGGACCCUGGGGUCCGCCCUGGCCAGGCGCACGACAACUACAGCUUCACCACAGACCUGGGUGAGGGCACCAGAGAAAUGGCUGGCAUGGCCCGUGGCGUGGACAAGGACCCCUGGACCACCCGUCCUGCUGGCUCACCCCGUGCCCAGGUGAUGGUGCACACGGCAGACCCGGGGCACACCCUGCCUGCCUCCUGGCCCGCUGCAGGAAUGUCCAGGCAGCAUGCGGCCUACGUCCCGGGGUGACUGAGGCAGAGGCCGGAGCCUGCCCUCCACACUGGGAAGACCAGGCCAACCCCACCACCCAGCCACCUGCAUAUCCACCUGGGCCCAGCUUAAGAGUGCACCUGGCACCCACCAUCCGAUACCGUCUGUCUAUGGACUUGGCUGCCAUAGGGAUCUCAUGUAAGUGGAAUCCUACAGUAUUUGACCUUUUGUGUCAGCUUAUCUCACGUAGUCUUUAAUGUUCUGUGCAACCAAUUUUGAACGUGUGGAGGGGGCUUCCCCGCACACCAACAAGCAGUUCUCAGAAACCAGCAGAGUGGCCUACAGUUCAACUCACUGCUGACCCUGUCUGCCAGGAGAAUUCGAUCCCACAAGCUGCGGGCUGUCCUAGAGUGUCCCCCACCUGCCAUGCUGCAGACGCCGGCCGUAAAUCCAGUUCUCACCCGUGCAUCUGACCAACUGGUUGUAAAUCAGAGGUUCCCACCAUCCCUUCCUUGGAUUGGACUAAUUUGCUAGAGUCGUUCACAGAACUCAGAAAGAUGCACAGGGCAGCAUGUGGAGAGAGGACACGGAGAGUCCAGGCACUCUCCAGGCAGACCACUCUCCCACACCAACGCGGAGGCUCUCUGACCCCUGUCCCUUAAGGCACGAUUGAUCUAUUCAUUGGCCCUUGGGGAUUGACUCAAGCUCCAGACCCUCUCCUCUCUCCUGAGGGGUGGAUUGCAAGUUCUAACCCUCCAAUCACAUGGAGGUUUCUCUGGGCCACCAGCCCCAUUCUUAGGUGACCUGGGGACAUUCCAAAAGUCGCCUCAUUAACAUAACAAAAGGCACCUUUUUCUCUCCUUUAGGAAAUCCCUAGGGUUUUAAGAGUUCUGCCAGGAGGAAGACCAAAUAUGUAUUUCUUACUGUUAAUCACAAUAUCACAUUCAACAUCAUGUCCUCAAGGCUCAUCCAUGUUGCAGUAGGUGUCAGAAUUUCCUUCCCUUUUAAGCCUGAACCCACUGUCUGGACACAGCGUAUAUACUAACCCGUUCCUCCGCUCACGCACACUGGCUGGCUUCUGCCUCUUGGCUACCGUGAAUAAUGCUGCUCUGAACACGAGUGUGCACACGUCUCUUGGAGACCCUACUGUUAAUUCUUUCGUGUGUACAGAGGCUGUUUUCAAACCUAUCAGUCAGAGAUCACCACGCCCUCGUCUCAGCGCAUAACCUCAAAUACUGGGCCCUGGCUGCCUGGCCCGCGAGACUCUGCAUGACUCCCCGGUCACCUCCCGACCUCACUGCUAUUGCAGAGUCCAGUCCAGCCGCCCAGACUGUCUCUCAAGCCUAGAAAGGUGGUCUGUGCUUGGGCUCCUGCAUGAUACUGUUCCCCAGCCAUCGUGUGGAGUUCUGCCUCCCUUUGGCCGGGCGUCUGCUUGGAUGUCUGGUGCAUUCGGUGUAUAACUGCCAGGUAACCAGUUACCCUGAAACACAGUGGUUCAAAAACAAUCGUCAUUAUCACCUGUUACUACAGCUCUCUGUUUCAUGUGAGGUUUGGCAGGGUGGCUCUGGCUCUCUGUUGAGGCUGGGGCUGUGGUCUCACCUGACGGCUGGACAGGCGGGGAUCCAUCCCUCGUCACUGUCCAGGUACUGCCCCCUUUAGGCUGAUCCCUCCUGGCUACUGGACGCCCACCGGCCUUUGUCCCAGGCUUGUCCUUGUUCCUCCUACAGACUGACCUGCGUGAC
This is an RNA transcript of Panthera uncia (snow leopard), 2521 nucleotides long. It is a transcript of the gene named sushi domain containing 3, with no coding region annotated. The transcript has 6 exons. The record is from RefSeq and is a predicted model, not a curated record. Lineage: Eukaryota; Metazoa; Chordata; Mammalia; Carnivora; Felidae.